UUUUUUUUUUUUUUUUUUUUUGGUCUCUUUAGGGCCACACCACCACAGCACAUGGAAAUUCCCAGGCUAGGGGCUGCAUCGGAGCUAUAGAUGCCGGCCUAUGCCACAACUACAGCAAUGCAAGAUCUGAUCCACAUCUGCGACCUACACCACAACUCACGGCAAUGCUCGAUCCUUAACCUACUGAGCGAGGCCAGGGAUCGAACCUGCAUCCUCAUGGGUACUUGUCAGAUUCAUUUCUGCUGCACCAUGACGAGAACUCCAACAACUUCUGGGAUUUAUGAUUAGCACCCUUGUCCAGGCACUACUUGGAAACACACAAAGUUAAGUGUUUAUUUUCUAUGAGGAUUAAAAUAGAAACUACCAAUUGAAAAACUAAAAUAAAACAACGAGAUAAUAAGGGAAAGUCUGUAAUCUAGAGAGAUUCUGACAGUCAUAGGCUUAUGCCUGCCGUUCCCAGAAAUAAGUCUUCUGACCUAAAGAAAAGCAGGGGACACUAUCAAUCAGAGGGUUGGCUGUACUUAAACGCUUAUUAAAUGUGGGUUUGGUUGGAGAGAUGGAAAUGCACGUACUGGUUCACUAGAGAAACGCUGAGCAGCAGCUAUAGGAAAUCAUCACUGAGCCAGUGAAAUUUAAAAUGGAUCAGGCGCAACAUUCAUACACUGCUGGGGGGAGUACAAAGAGCACAGCUACCUUGGAAUAUUGUUUGACAGCGGUCGGUCAAAGCAGAACAGAGACAUGCCCCACGACCCAUCGGCCCCCCUCCUGGGGUCACACGCACCAGGACGGGACCUCUGAGCCCCAGGAGGCAGCAUGCCAAAGAGCAGUCACCUCUACAGACAAGCAUGAAUUCCACAAAUAUAACUGAGCAAAAGAAGUCAGAGACCAAGACCCUCGUACUAUGUUACCCAUUUAUAUACAAUUCAAAAAGGGAGAUAAACGAUAGAAUUUGACGUCAGCAGAAUGGUUACCUUUGGGGAGAAGGGGUUAAUCAUUGCAAGGGUCCCUGGGGGGCUUCUGAAGUGCGGAUGAUUCUCUGCUUCUUAUGUGAAUUGUGGUUACAGCUGCGCUAAUUCCAGUAAAAUUUCAGUGAGCUGUAAAAUUAUGCUGUGCAGUUUUCUGUACGGGUGCUUUAAGUUGAUAAAAAGUUUACUUAAGAAUCAUUCACGUAGGAAGAGGCGUUUGCUAAUGUCAGUGGAGUGAAGAGAUCCCACGCACUUGGUUAAAUUUUUUUAAAUACACUUGAAAGCUUCUAGAAAGAGACAAAAACUGGAGGGGAGUUUUAUCUCAAAUGCUUGCAUCUGUAAGAGUAAGACUGGAAUGACAAGGAGCGAAAUAUGCCAAGUUAAUGAUUUUCUUAAAGGAGAACAUUCUCUAACCAUGCACAGCUUGGGCAACUGAAAGCCGGAAGGGUCAGAGUCUGGAGCCCAAACCCAGAAGAGCAGCUGGCAAUGACUAGUAUCCCUGAAGGAAGAGAAGCCCAGUGUGAACCCUGCUUCUUCCCAAACCCUCAGCCCACUGUCAAUACACACAGGCCAAGGAAGAUCCACAAGGCCCAGGCCAAAAACGUAGCAGAGGAAAGAAACAGAGCAGAACAGAGAUCUAGGUGAGCCUGCACGAUGGAGAGAAUGUCAAGAUACAUCACAUGCUGGGCCAUAAAGCAAGUUCCGUGGGGUUUAGAAAUAUUGAUAUACUGCAGGGUAUGUUCUUUGCCCACAAUGGAAUUAACUCAGAAGUCAACCUAAACAUAGCAGAUAUCUGGAAAUUAAAUGGCUCACUGGAAAACACAACAUAUCAACAAACUUACAGGAAACACAUACAACAGUGCUUAGAGGGAUUUUUAUGGCCAUAAAUGUGUACACAUAAAAAUAAAAAGGUCACUAAUCAAUGAGCUAAAGCAGGGGUUGGCAAACCUUUCCUUAAAAAUGCCAGCAAGUGAGUAUUUUAGGUUUUGUGGGCCAUAUGGUCCCUGACGCAACCAUUCAACUCUGCAACUGUAGCACAAAAGCAAUUAUAGGCAAUACUGAAAAGGAAUGACCAUGACAGGAGUCCAGUAAAACUACUUACAGAAACAAGCACUGGGCCGUAUUUGGCUGCUAUAGUUUGCUACUCACUGAUCUAAGCUUUUAUCAUAGGAAACUAAGAAAAGAAGCAAAAAUAAACUCAAAUUAACAGGGGAAAAAAGAAAGAAAAUGGAUAAUGACAGGAAUCAAUAAAAUAUAAACAGAAAAUAAAGAAAUUCACAAGCUUACUCUUUGAAAAAUGAAAAAAUGAUAAAUUUCC
Molecule: long non-coding RNA, 2283 nt
Filed under: Sus scrofa (pig)
Lineage: Eukaryota; Metazoa; Chordata; Mammalia; Artiodactyla; Suidae
Description: lncRNA (ENSSSCG00025005245.1)
Source: RNAcentral